This 599-nucleotide long non-coding RNA is filed under the name Ananas comosus (pineapple). Its description in RNAcentral is "long non-coding RNA (ACOM_LNC007230)". The record is from RNAcentral. Lineage: Eukaryota; Viridiplantae; Streptophyta; Magnoliopsida; Poales; Bromeliaceae.
AACUUGACCUCCAAGUUUAUCCAAGAACACUAUUCACAUUCAGGCAGCUCGAAAUCUGAUAUCUUUCGCCGGAGUUCCCUGAAUAUCCGUUUGAGCUCAAACUUGACAGUCAUAUUCGCUUUUACUUAAUGAGUCCAGAAAAAUUUUAAUAUUUCAGUUUCGACCCCGUUUGGUCACUAAAAGCUGUACCGAACUGUAAUCUUUAUCAGAUAACUGUCGGAUUUAUUUCUCACUCUACGGAUGUCAGAAUGGCAUGAAACUUUAAAUCUAGCCUCAUAAAAAUAUUUCUGACAUAUCCUCCAGUUUUCAUAAUUUUCUGACACUGUGCAUUUUUUGCUAAUUUAUCUGCCCCGUUUCACACAGAAAAUUCUAAAUUUUCUGUUUUCAUCCCGAUUUCAGCACAAGUCACUUCUGACUUAUGUUUAACUUCUCUAAAUCCAAUAAAAUAGUAUCUCAUACUAUUUUUAUUUAUUUUUCACUUUUAUAUUAAAGAUCCGGUAUGUUACAUUCCACCGCAGCCUCACCGGAACCAUUUAAAUGGCUUUCCAAUCGAACGUACACCGUAACCUUAUGAUUUUCGAAGUCCGGUACCUUACGCU